AGCGAACGCUGGCGGCAGGCUUAACACAUGCAAGUCGAGCGGGCCCUUCGGGGUCAGCGGCAGACGGGUGAGUAACACGUGGGAACGUACCCUUUGGUUCGGAAUAAUGCUGGGAAACUAGCGCUAAUACAGGAUACGCCACUUUGGGGAAAGGCUCGCUGCGGAAGUGUCGGCCGGCGUCUGUUUAGCUUGUUGGUGGGGUAAGGGCCUACCAAGGCGAGGAUCAGUAGCUGGUCAGAGAGGAUGAGCAGCCACACUGGGAAUGUGACACGGCCGAGACUCCUACGGGAGGCAGCAGUGGGGAAUAUUGGACAAUGGGCGCGAGCCUGAUCCAGCCAUGCCGCGUGAGUGAUGAAGGCCUUAGGGUUGUAAAGCUCUUUUGUCCGGGACGAUAAUGACGGUACCGGAAGAAUAAGCCCCGGCUAACUUCGUG
RNAcentral lists this ribosomal RNA (433 nucleotides) under uncultured bacterium. RNAcentral describes it as "partial 16S ribosomal RNA". It matches the Rfam family "Bacterial small subunit ribosomal RNA", at positions 29 to 507 of the family's 1533-position model. The record is from RNAcentral.